Molecule: ribosomal RNA, 468 nt
Filed under: Lactobacillus sp.
Lineage: Bacteria; Bacillati; Bacillota; Bacilli; Lactobacillales; Lactobacillaceae
Description: bacterial SSU rRNA
Rfam family: Bacterial small subunit ribosomal RNA
Source: RNAcentral
UGGCUCAGGACGAACGCUGGCGGCGUGCCUAAUACAUGCAAGUCGAGCGAGCGGAACCAACAGAUUUACUUCGGUAAUGACGUUGGGAAAGCGAGCGGCGGAUGGGUGAGUAACACGUGGGGAACCUGCCCCUAAGUCUGGGAUACCAUUUGGAAACAGGUGCUAAUACCGGAUAAUAAAGCAGAUCGCAUGAUCAGCUUUUGAAAGGCGGCGUAAGCUGUCGCUAAGGGAUGGCCCCGCGGUGCAUUAGCUAGUUGGUAAGGUAACGGCUUACCAAGGCAACGAUGCAUAGCCGAGUUGAGAGACUGAUCGGCCACAUUGGGACUGAGACACGGCCCAAACUCCUACGGGAGGCAGCAGUAGGGAAUCUUCCACAAUGGACGCAAGUCUGAUGGAGCAACGCCGCGUGAGUGAAGAAGGUUUUCGGAUCGUAAAGCUCUGUUGUUGGUGAAGAAGGAUAGAGGUAGU